RNAcentral lists this ribosomal RNA (301 nucleotides) under uncultured bacterium. Its description in RNAcentral is "partial 16S ribosomal RNA". It matches the Rfam family "Bacterial small subunit ribosomal RNA", at positions 509 to 809 of the family's 1533-position model. The record is from RNAcentral.
CAGUAGCCGCGGGAAUACGUAGGUGGCAAGCGUUAUCCGGAAUUAUUGGGCGUAAAGCGCGCGUAGGCGGUUUCUUAAGUCUGAUGUGAAAGCCCACGGCUCAACCGUGGAGGGUCAUUGGAAACUGGGAAACUUGAGUGCAGAAGAGGAAAGUGGAAUUCCAUGUGUAGCGGUGAAAUGCGCAGAGAUAUGGAGGAACACCAGUGGCGAAGGCGACUUUCUGGUCUGUAACUGACGCUGAUGUGCGAAAGCGUGGGGAUCAAACAGGAUUAGAUACCCGUGUAGUCCCUGUCUCUUAUAA